GGCACGUGUGGGCCCCAGGGAGGGUCUGCGGACUCAGGAUUCACACAACCCAGGCCUCGAAAUCUUAGGAGGAACCUCCACUCUCUGGUCCCCUUCAAUGCACAUCCUGGGGGAGGAGGAGGAGCCCAGAUUCCGGACACCGGGACGUUCUUUUUCCUCAUCAGCCGAGCUCUGACCGCAGACCUGCUCCAGCACAGGCUCGAACACAGCAACGUUCAGAAACCGCUGCUUGGCCUCCGACUGCCUUUGGCUGCGGGACCCCGAACCCCGAUCGGAGGGAGGACGGUCACCGGGCGGCUGGUGGUGCCGGGCGGCGCUGGGCCCCGCGCACGGAGAUGAGAAGGAGAGCUCACGCACUCUGCUUCAGUCCCGGACCCCGGUUUGGGCGGGAGGAAGCUAGCAGAGUGCCGUCUGUCACACAGCUCGUCUCUAUGACCCCAUUUCAUCCUCAUGACAGACAGCGCCGUAGGAACCCUCACCCGCGUUUUGUGGACAAGAAAACCAAAGCUUCGCUGUAGAAUCUAUCGAGACCGUUUGUGGUACCUGCUAGGCCGUCUUCGUCCUCACCACCUUCGCCGCUGUCCUCCAGGCCCGCGAGAGCGCAGGCGGCCACGGCCCGCGCCCUGCAUCUUUUCAUCCUGAGGUGCGAGAGUCACGUCUUCUUAAGUCGGUUGUUUCUUUUGAAGACAUCUUAACCAAAGCCUCCUGCCUCCAGAGUCCUUUACCAUGACGAAUGUCAGUAACCGUGAUGGCUCCCUGAGGCUGAAUUUUAAAAGAGCAUUAAAGAUUAAAGGACACACAGGUCAAUUACCGGUACAAGUAGAUGACUUGAGGAGUAAUUACAUAUAA
Mustela lutreola (European mink) is the source of this 849-nucleotide long non-coding RNA. RefSeq lists it as uncharacterized. Lineage: Eukaryota; Metazoa; Chordata; Mammalia; Carnivora; Mustelidae. The transcript is spliced from 3 exons. The record is from RefSeq and is a predicted model, not a curated record.